AGUAGUUUGAUCAGUGGCUCAGGACGACGCUGGCGGCGUGCUUAACACAUGCAAGUCGAACGGUGACCCAGGGCUUGCCCUGGUGAUCAGUGGCGAACGGGUGAGUAACACGUGGGCAACCUGCCCCUGACUUCGGGAUAACUCCUCGAAAGAGGAGCUAAUACCGGAUACGACCACUUCGGACAUCCGAUGGUGGUGGAAAGUUUUUCGGUCAGGGAUGGGCCCGCGGCCUAUCAGCUAGUUGGUGGGGUAAUGGCCUACCAAGGCGACGACGGGUAGCCGGCCUGAGAGGGCGACCGGCCACACUGGGACUGAGACACGGCCCAGACUCCUACGGGAGGCAGCAGUGGGGAAUAUUGCGCAAUGGGCGAAAGCCUGACGCAGCGACGCCGCGUGAGGGAUGAAGGCCUUCGGGUUGUAAACCUCUUUCAGCAGGGACGAAGCGAAAGUGACGGUACCUGCAGAAGAAGCACCGGCUAACUACGUG
RNAcentral lists this ribosomal RNA (487 nucleotides) under uncultured bacterium. Its description in RNAcentral is "bacterial SSU rRNA". It matches the Rfam family "Bacterial small subunit ribosomal RNA", at positions 1 to 507 of the family's 1533-position model. The record is from RNAcentral.